CACGUAGGGCGCAAGCGUUGUCCGGAAUUAUUGGGCGUAAAGAGCUCGUAGGCGGUCUGUUACGUCUGCUGUGAAAACCCGGGGCUUAACCCUGGGCUUGCAGUGGAUACGGGCAGACUAGAGGCAGGUAGGGGAGAAUGGAAUUCCCGGUGUAGCGGUGGAAUGCGCAGAUAUCAGGAGGAACACCGAUGGCGAAGGCAGGUCACUGGGCCGCAACUGACGCUGAGGAGCGAAAGCAUGGGGAGCGAACAGG
RNAcentral lists this ribosomal RNA (253 nucleotides) under uncultured bacterium. RNAcentral describes it as "partial 16S ribosomal RNA". It matches the Rfam family "Bacterial small subunit ribosomal RNA", at positions 524 to 776 of the family's 1533-position model. The record is from RNAcentral.